UGAACGCUGGCGGCAUGCUUUACACAUGCACGUCGAACGGUAACAGGCCUUCGGGUGCUGACGAGUGGCGCACGGGUGAGUAAUGCAUCGGAACGUACCCAGAGGUGGGGGAUAACGCAGCGAAAGCUGUGCUAAUACCGCAUGUGAUCUGAGGAUGAAAGCGGGGGACCGAGCAGCAAUGUUUGGCCUCGCGCCUUUGGAGCGGCCGAUGUCGGAUUAGCUAGUUGGUGGGGUAAAGGCCUACCAAGGCGACGAUCCGUAGCUGGUCUGAGAGGACGACCAGCCACACUGGGACUGAGACACGGCCCAGACUCCUACGGGAGGCAGCAGUGGGGAAUUUUGGACAAUGGGCGCAAGCCUGAUCCAGCAAUGCCGCGUGCGGGAAGAAGGCCUUCGGGUUGUAAACCGCUUUUGGCAGGAACGAAACGGUGUCCGCUAAUACCGGGCGCUAAUGACGGUACCUGCAGAAUAAGCACCGGCUAACUACGUG
This 490-nucleotide ribosomal RNA is filed under the name uncultured bacterium. RNAcentral's name for it is "partial 16S ribosomal RNA". It matches the Rfam family "Bacterial small subunit ribosomal RNA", at positions 30 to 507 of the family's 1533-position model. The record is from RNAcentral.